This 513-nucleotide ribosomal RNA is filed under the name uncultured bacterium. RNAcentral's name for it is "bacterial SSU rRNA". It matches the Rfam family "Bacterial small subunit ribosomal RNA", at positions 17 to 518 of the family's 1533-position model. The record is from RNAcentral.
UUAUGGCUCAGAACGAACGCUGGCGGCGCGUCUUAAGCAUGCAAGUCGAACGGCAAGAGGUAGCAAUACCUCCUAGAGUGGCGGACUGGUGAGUAACACGUGGGUGACAUACCCUUCAGAUGGGGAUAGCUAUUAGAAAUAGUAGAUAAUACCGAAUACGAGCACAGGGGUUAGAGAUCUGUGAGGAAAGGAGCUAAGGCUCCGCUGAAGGAAUGGCCUGCGGCCCAUUAGCUAGUUGGUGAGGUAAGAGCCCACCAAGGCGAUGAUGGGUAUCCGGCCUUAGAGGGUGAACGGACACAUUGGGACUGAGAUACGGCCCAGACUCCUACGGGAGGCAGCAGCUAAGAAUAUUCCGCAAUGGACGAAAGUCUGACGGAGCGACGCCGCCGUGGAUGAAGAAGGCCGGAAGGUUGUAAAAUCCUUUUGAAACUGAAGAAUAAGCGUUGUAGGGAAUGACAGCGUGGUGACAGUAGGUUUUGAAUAAGCAACGGCUAAUUACGUGCCAGCCGCCGC